GUUGAAAGGGUGAUUUUAAUUAGUUUUUACUAUUUUUUAGACAAAAGUAGUUGGUUGAUGUUGCAAAAGAUUAUUUUGAUUAUUUUAAUGCCGUGAUUAAUAUUGUUUUUUAUUAUUUUGUUGACAAAUUUUAAUAUUGUUUUGCUGAUUAUUUAUGAACUAAAAAUUGUUUUUCAGCUAUAGGAGAAAAGAAGCGGAACAAGAACAAUGAGAGUGCUGGUAACAAUAAAGUAAGGAUUGUUAAUUUAAUUUUUUUUUUAAUCUUUUUGAUGUUGUGUUUUGUACUAUUCACAUGUGGGAUACAAUUUCCUGAGAAUUCAGGAAAAGAAGAAUUCAAUGGGGCUAAGAUUUUUUUUUUUUAAA
This 363-nucleotide unclassified non-coding RNA is filed under the name Hevea brasiliensis (rubber tree). Lineage: Eukaryota; Viridiplantae; Streptophyta; Magnoliopsida; Malpighiales; Euphorbiaceae. The record is from RNAcentral.